RNAcentral lists this ribosomal RNA (497 nucleotides) under uncultured bacterium. RNAcentral's name for it is "partial 16S ribosomal RNA". It matches the Rfam family "Bacterial small subunit ribosomal RNA", at positions 28 to 507 of the family's 1533-position model. The record is from RNAcentral.
GAUGAACGCUGGCGGCGUGCCUAAUACAUGCAAGUCGAGCGAACGGACGAGAAGCUUGCUUCUCUGAUGUUAGCGGCGGACGGGUGAGUAACACGUGGAUAACCUACCUAUAAGACUGGGAUAACUUCGGGAAACCGGAGCUAAUACCGGAUAAUAUUUUGAACCGCAUGGUUCAAAAGUGAAAGACGGUCUUGCUGUCACUUAUAGAUGGAUCCGCGCUGCAUUAGCUAGUUGGUAAGGUAACGACUUACCAAGGCAACGAUGCAUAGCCGACCUGAGAGGGUGAUCGGCCACACUGGAACUGGGACACGGUCCAGACUCCUACGGGAGGCAGCAGUAGGGAAUCUUCCGCAAUGGGCGAAAGCCUGACGGAGCAACGCCGCGUGAGUGAUGAAGGUCUUCGGAUCGUAAAACUCUGUUAUUAGGGAAGAACAUAUGUGUAAGUAACUGUGCACAUCUUGACGGUACCUAAUCAGAAAGCCACGGCUAACUACGUG